UUGGAUAGGGCCUUUCUACCUCUUGUAAUGAGGCCGGCCAAACUGUCCCGGACACCACUUGCAGUGUCUCGGAGGAGGAGUGAGCGAGGCGGGGGCGGGCAUCUGGGCCUCGAGGCGCCGAGGACGUGUGGUGGCAAGGAGUGGGCGCGGGGAGAAGGGCGGGCUAAGGGAACGCCCCGCGCGGGCCCCAGCGUCCCGGACGGGCGAGGUGCGGCGCCUUUAAGGUCCGCUGGGGGCGUGCUAGCAGCGGCCACGGGCCCUUGGAGAGGUGAGCGCUGGCGCCCCGCGGGUCCUGUGCUCGGAGACGGGACUCGAAGUAGGACCUACGGCGCGCCCGAGUUUCCCACCUCCUCCCCCGAGCGCGGGCCGGCGGGUGGUACGCCCCGCGGACUCUCACUGGGCACCCACCCGGCUGCGGGAGCGCGAGGCGCCGCUACUGUGGCCAUGGGCAGCUUCCAGCUGGAGGACUUCGCGGCGGGCUGGAUCGGAGGUGAGCCCGGCCCUGGAUGGGAGGGAGCCCCCCACCCCCACCCCGGAGGUGCAGCCAGCGUCAUUGUCGGUCACCCUCUGGACACGGUCAAGACCCGCCUGCAGGCCGGCGUCAACUACGGGGACACCAUCAGCUGCAUCCGCACGGUGUACAGGAGGGAGAGUGUCUUCGGCUUCUUCAAGGGCAUGUCCUUUCCCCUUGCCAGCAUCGCGGUCUACAACUCUGCGGUGUUUGGCGUCUUCAGUAACACGCAGAGGUUCCUCAGCCAGCACCACUGCAGGGAGCCCGGGGCCAGCCCGUCCGGCACCCUGUCUGACCUUCUCCUGGCCAGCAUGGUGGCUGGCGUGGUCUCUGUGGGGCUGGGCACGCCUGUAGACCUCAUCAAGAUCCGGCUGCAGAUGCAAACACAGCCUUUUCAGGAAGCCAACCUUGGUUUGAGACCAAGGGCGAUGACUCUUGGGAAGCCACCAGUCUACCAGGGGCCUGUGGAUUGCAUUGCAACCAUCGUGCGGACCGAGGGCCUGGCAGGGAUGUACCGGGGUUUUGGCGCCAUGCUGCUGAGGGAUGUCCCGGGCUAUUGCCUCUACUUCAUCCCCUAUGUGUUCCUGAAUGACUGGAUCACACCCGAGGCCUGCGCAGGCCCCAGCCUCUGUGCUGUGUGGCUGGCAGGCGGCGUGGCAGGAGCAAUUUCUUGGGGGACAGCGACUCCUAUGGAUGUCGUGAAAAGUCGACUCCAAGCUGAUGGGGUUUAUUUAAACAAAUACAAAGGUGUCCUGGAUUGUAUCUCCCAGAGUUACCAGAAGGAAGGUCUUAAAGGCCCAGCACUGUGGGAGAGGAGAUCCACAUUCCAAGCUGGGCCCUGCCUGGCUCAGCCUCACAGAACAGAGUCAAGCCCAGGCCCACAGGGGAGUGUCUGUUGCACCCAGCAUGGAAUUUUCCUCUCGGAGCUCGAGCCAGUUCCUUGCUGUUAUUCAGUCACUGCAGGUGUUUUUCAGAGGCAUCACUGUGAACGCUGUGCGCGGCUUCCCCAUGAGUGCUGCCAUGUUCCUCGGGUAUGAGUUCUCGCUGCAGGCAAUCCGCGGGGACCACGCCGUGACUAGCCCCUGAGCGCCAGCCAGUGUGCAGUCCUGGGAGAGCUGCCACCGUGUCUCCGCCUCUGUGUCACUGGUGCCUCACGCGGAGCCCGACACCCAGAUGGCCCCUCAGAAACAUCACUGAGAAGAUGGGCAAUCAAGUGCCAGCGUCCCCUCAGCUCCUCCCCUUCUUUUCCUCCCUGUGUCUCCUUCUCUGGCUCCACACUGGUGUCCUGCAGAGCUGAGAAGACAAGGUGGAACGAGUCACUGAAUUUUCUAGUCAACAAGAAACCAUUUUGCUUCAGCCUUGGCGACUACAAAUUCUCUCAAGAAGGAUGGCUUUUGUCAGAAAGGUCUCACAGUCCUCUCUGCUGCCUUCCCUGGGCCAGCAGAGGCCUGCUAGCAUUCGUGGACGGGCCCAGACCCUAGACCCAGGGGAAGGGUGUGAUGGAUCAGGCCGAUGAGACUGAGCCCAGGACAAGGCUUAGAAUGCCGGCUUCAUCAGAUGAUUUAGCUUUUCACUAAAGCACCCACAUUCACAGCUCUCCCAGCUUUUGGCUCUCUCUUACAAAAGGAAAAGAGUAGUAACACAUUUUGCAUAAUUAAACGUCUUGAGUGGGUUUUGUCCAGGGCGAGGAAGAAGAACGGCCUGGUACUUAAAGCUUUGCUCAGAUAUCAGCUGCUCUCCGCCUUGAACAGGUGAAAAUAGCUUUCAAAAAAAAAAUCCUAUCAUAAAAUCCGUGCCUCUUUAUUGCAGAAAAAAAUAGAAAAUACAAACAGAACACAAGAAAAUAACCUAUUUUCUGCAGUAUUUUGUAACUCAUCCUUCCCAUUUAAUAGUUCAAGACCAUUUUUUCCAUGUCAUUAAAUAUUCAGCAGCAAGGUGGUUUUUGUGCCAAGACCUGGCAGAUCCCAGAGUGGCUGGACGCUUGCCCGAGCUGUCACACCCGGCAACUUGUGACCGCCCUGGUGGUUGGCUACUUCUGGAGGAAGGAAGAAGUUUCUAGCAAGCCAAAUUCUGAUCAUCCUGGAUUUAACCUUUCAGAGCAGCGACCACCCCAGCUGGAAACCGCCCUUUCCGGAAGUACUCUCACGGUACAAGAGGCACAGAUGUGUGUCAGCCUUGCCUCUGCUGGAGUGAGACAGGAGGCUGUGGCCCCCCGGGUGGAAGAAGGGGUUUCCCAACGACUUUUCUGGAGCCUCAUCUUGAACAAGCCUUCAGUUUGUUUCAACUUCCUGCUCUAACCUAACAGCCCCAAGGUCCUUUAUCAAGCCCUGGAUUUGAAUUUGCCGAGUAGCUCUGAGGUCAUGGGCAGGUCCUCUAGGCAGCAGCAGUAGCAUCUACUCUUUGAAGACUUGGAAACCACUGCCUCCCUUGUGGUCUAGAUGGGGGGCAGAGUGAGAGGUGGUGUAUGUUAGAGAACCUCAGAGCCCUACGGUCCCUAAUCGGUGGCAGGAGGGUGCCCAUCUUGAGUCCCUGGGUGCAGGUGGUAGGAUGGCAUGGAAUGGUUUCCAUUGUCUAGACUCCACCGGAGCAGCGUCCAAACCACAGUACCUACGGCCCCCUUCCAACAAGCAGGGGCAGGGUCAGAGCUCUCCCUCAGCCCCCACCAACUCCCGUGGAGGAGGAACACUUCACUUUCAUUUAUCCUCUCCCCCAGUUCACACACACACGAGUGAACCAAGGACCAUGGCAAAUCCAGUAAGUGGGGCGUGAGGUCAUUGGGAUGCGGCUAGUUUGACCUGUUCUCAGGGAGUACCAGACUCAGACAACAUGAGAAAGAUGACCCUGGGUGGUAGAAGUGGGGUCCCAACCCUGGUCAGAAAGUCAGCUCUUAGGUUUGUUGGAAGCCCAUGAGUCCAGCUGGGCCAUCCCCACCGUCCCACCAGGAUCUCCUAUCCCAGAAGCUUCCUGGAACAAUGCUGGUCUGCCUCCUGACUUGACAUUCUUGCUCCACACCUCAUGGAUCUACCUUUAAAUCCUGGAAAGUCCAUUUCCCAGGAAAUAAGAUACAUUCUUCCUAUAAUACCUUUUUUUGAGCAUUUAUAGAUGACCUCAGACAAGCUCCUAGCCCUUCACAUCUGCCCUCAUGGUGAUGCCCUGCCAACUCUUGCUUCAUAUACACAGUUUUCCCAAUGGAUUGUUGACCCUUAGAUCCUGCUUGAUAACUUGGGUUUGAUGAAAGCCUUAUUUUUCAUUCUGUUCCCCUAGGGCCAGCGUCACCUGGCCAGAGCUGGUGUCAUCUGACCAGAGCCUCUUUUUGCUACAAGUUGGUGCUGGAGGCAUGGCAUCUCUAGACUCCUCAGUAGUGAACUUAAGAGAAAGAAGGCCUCUCUUCCACCCGUGCUGUGGGUCAGGUGGGCCCUCAGCCAUCGGCGCCGACCUCAGAAUCCCUUCUUUCCUGAGGACUCUGCUCCUCACCUCCCAGCUGCGGCCACUCACCUGCUGCCUGGGAAGGAACUGUUGGACCAUUGGACCCACUGAUGGACCACCAGCUCUUUCAGAUCUCCACUGGCCCCAAUACAAAGCAGGAUAAGAUCGGCCCUGUCCCCAUGCCUGCUGUUAACACUCACUGGGAGCUCAUGGAGGAGCUCAACUGUCUGCAUGUUUCCAAAUAAAAACACUGAAGACCUCUUCAGGUCAUUACCGAA
RNA transcript from Felis catus (domestic cat), 4215 nucleotides. It is a transcript of the gene named solute carrier family 25 member 48, with no coding region annotated. Lineage: Eukaryota; Metazoa; Chordata; Mammalia; Carnivora; Felidae. The transcript is spliced from 9 exons. The record is from RefSeq and is a predicted model, not a curated record.